GACGAACGCUGGCGGCGUGCUUAACACAUGCAAGUCGAACGAUGGAGCCUAGCUUGCUAGGUGGAUUAGUGGCGAACGGGUGAGUAAUACGUGAGUAACCUACCUUUAACUCUGGGAUAAGCCUGGGAAACUGGGUCUAAUACCGGAUACGACCAAUCUCCGCAUGGGGUGUUGGUGGAAAGCGUUAUGUAGUGGUUAUAGAUGGGCUCACGGCCUAUCAGCUUGUUGGUGAGGUAACGGCUCACCAAGGCGACGACGGGUAGCCGGCCUGAGAGGGUGACCGGCCACACUGGGACUGAGACACGGCCCAGACUCCUACGGGAGGCAGCAGUGGGGAAUAUUGCACAAUGGGCGCAAGCCUGAUGCAGCGACGCCGCGUGAGGGAUGACGGCCUUCGGGUUGUAAACCUCUGUUAGCAGGGAAGAAGAGAAAUUGACGGUACCUGCAGAGAAAGCGCCGGCUAACUACGUGCCAGCAGCCGCGGUAAUACGUAGGGCGCGAGCGUUGUCCGGAAUUAUUGGGCGUAAAGAGCUUGUAGGCGGUUUGUCGCGUCUGCUGUGAAGGCCGGGGCUUAACCCCGUGUAUUGCAGUGGGUACGGGCAGACUAGAGUGCAGUAGGGGAGACUGGAAUUCCUGGUGUAGCGGUGGAAUGCGCAGAUAUCAGGAGGAACACCGAUGGCGAAGGCAGGUCUCUGGGCUGUAACUGACGCUGAGAAGCGAAAGCAUGGGGAGCGAACAGGAUUAGAUACCCUGGUAGUCCAUGCCGUAAACGUUGGGCACUAGGUGUGGGGGACAUUCCACGUUUUCCGCGCCGUAGCUAACGCAUUAAGUGCCCCGCCUGGGGAGUACGGCCGCAAGGCUAAAACUCAAAGAAAUUGACGGGGGCCCGCACAAGCGGCGGAGCAUGCGGAUUAAUUCGAUGCAACGCGAAGAACCUUACCAAGGCUUGACAUAUACUGGACCGCAUCAGAGAUGGUGUUUCCCUUCGGGGCUGGUAUACAGGUGGUGCAUGGUUGUCGUCAGCUCGUGUCGUGAGAUGUUGGGUUAAGUCCCGCAACGAGCGCAACCCUCGUUCUAUGUUGCCAGCACGUUAUGGUGGGGACUCAUAGGAGACUGCCGGGGUCAACUCGGAGGAAGGUGGGGAUGACGUCAAAUCAUCAUGCCCCUUAUGUCUUGGGCUUCACGCAUGCUACAAUGGCCGGUACAGAGGGUUGCGAUACUGUGAGGUGGAGCUAAUCCCUAAAAGCCGGUCUCAGUUCGGAUUGGGGUCUGCAACUCGACCCCAUGAAGUCGGAGUCGCUAGUAAUCGCAGAUCAGCAACGCUGCGGUGAAUACGUUCCCGGGCCU
RNAcentral lists this ribosomal RNA (1347 nucleotides) under uncultured bacterium. RNAcentral describes it as "bacterial SSU rRNA". It matches the Rfam family "Bacterial small subunit ribosomal RNA", at positions 28 to 1381 of the family's 1533-position model. The record is from RNAcentral.